GACGAACGCUGGCGGCGUGCUUAACACAUGCAAGUCGAACGGAAAGGCUCCAGCUUGCUGGAGUCCUCGAGUGGCGAACGGGUGAGUAACACGUGGGUGAUCUGCCCUGCACUUCGGGAUAAGCCUGGGAAACUGGGUCUAAUACCGGAUAGGACCGCACUUUGGUGUGUGUGGUGGAAAGGUUUUUCUGGUGUGGGAUGAGCUCGCGGCCUAUCAGUUUGUUGGUGGGGUAAUGGCGUACCAAGACGUCGACGGGUAGCCGGCCUGAGAGGGUGGACGGUGGGAAUGGGUGGGGGAUUCGGCCCAGGCUGCGACGGGAGGCAGCGGUGGGGAAUAUUGAUCAAUGGGGGAAACCCUGAGUGAGCGACGCCGGGUGGGGGAUGAAGGGCUUGGGGUUGUAGACUGCUUGCGCGAGGGACGAAGCUGUUUGUGACGGUACCUGGAGAAGAAGCACCGGCUAACUACGUG
This 468-nucleotide ribosomal RNA is filed under the name uncultured bacterium. Its description in RNAcentral is "partial 16S ribosomal RNA". It matches the Rfam family "Bacterial small subunit ribosomal RNA", at positions 28 to 507 of the family's 1533-position model. The record is from RNAcentral.